CUUUGUCGAGCAGCAAUGCAAUGGUCACCGUGUGGUCCACGCCAUUUCAGGAAACUGGAACCAGAUGGAUGUAGGACUGAUUAUCCAUUUUCCAGAAGCAUGUGGUGGCAACAGCACAGAAAAACCUACAAGACAUAUUCAAAAGCAGAGAAUUGUCCUUUUAAAUAAGUAAGCAUACUGAGAGACCAGAAGGCCUUAGGAAUCUGCCACACAAUCUUCAUUCCUGGGACAGACAUUGCUUCAGCUUUCCAACUUCUGAGGAUGACAAAAGAUUAUAUAUUGCAUUGGGACUUAGUAUCUAUGAAAGAAGAUAAAAGAGAUGACACUGAGAUUCCCCAAAGUUAGAGACUGGGCAGGAAAAGACAUGCAAAGGGGAAAGGCUCACCAGUGACAACAACCUUGGGCUCCACUGGGACCUGGGAACAGAAGCAGUGUUAAGUCUACAACCAGGAGAGGAACUUGAAAAGAUCUGCCACACAUCUGCCUGCCUGGACACAAACAGGAGGUGAGACCAGCUCAAGGGCGGCCCCUAAUCACAAAAUUCUAGAAACUUCAUUCCUCUUCUUUUUUAUUCAUUUUCCACUUUCUGUUACUCUGCCAACAAUGGAAGAUGUUUCUUGUUUGUUUGUUUGUGUGACACAGGGUCUCUCUACAUAGCCCUGGCUGUCCUGGUAUUCACUCUGUAAAGCAGUCUGGCCUCAAACUCACAUAGUUCUGCCUGUCUCUGACUCCCAAGUGCUGGGAGUAAAGGUGUGCACCACCAUGCUGGCUUUGUCCACUCCCCUUAACUCUGUCACACUACCACGGGACACACAGAGGCAGGAAGGAGCAAAAGGCAAAGCUGCUUCCCUGAGGGCUUGCUCUCUUUUCUUGGGGUAUGGCAGGGCACAUACUGACCCAAGGCCCCACAGGAGAGCUAGGUAUGAAGGCAUGCAUCUGUCAGCACUUCUAAGGUGGAGGAGGACUUGAAUGAAGGCAACCCUCAGCUACAUGGCGAGUUCCAGGGUAGCCAGUUUACACAAGACACAACCAGAGCAACCAGGGUGAGUAGGGAGGGCGGCUAAUGCCAUUAGGAUGGCAAAAUUAGAACAUUCAGAGCUACACUGGACAUGCCUGGCCUGGACUGUCCAGGAAAACCCCAAUGACGUCGAUCUGAGGUCUGGACCAAGUGGGUAUUGAGUUCUGAGAAACAAGAGGGGCUUCUCUAGGAGGAUAAAGCCAUCCCCUGGCCUUAAAGGGAAAGGGGCCACUAAAGCUCAACCAAGAGAUCUUGACGUGUGGGAAUUACUCUCCAAUGAUGGGUAAAUAGGUAAAAUGGAAUAGAUUCCAAGGUGGAAAGGUGCUAAAUUGGGAGUUUCUGGGAAGAAUAGUCACUGUAUGUUUCUGAGGUUUUGUUUUCCUUCUUUGUUUGAAAAAGAACAUUGGAUCUAAUGCCACCCAUUUCCCCUCUCUCAACUCCUUUAUCUCAAACCCAACAAACACUCUGGGAGAGCCCAGAAGAACUUGCCUGUUGGAAGCCCUGUCUCUGGGGUCUUGUGAGUCAAGGAGAGAGGGCUCUUGUGCCUCACAGGACUAUUUAAAAGUCGGCCAAAGGAAGACCAGAGGCUGCUAUAAAAGGACUUUCCCUGACCGGGAAUCGAACCCGGGCCGCGGCGGUGAAAGCGCCGAAUCCUAGCCACUAGACCACCAGGGAGACUUAUGAAUACCCCAAUUGACCACUUGAAGCAAACUCCACAGAGGACACUUGACUCGCUUUCUAAAGCCGACAGGUCAGGCAUUGAGCCCACCAUCGUCAUCUCUCCCAUCCACUGCCCGGGUGAAACCAGCAGACAGCGGAGCGCAUACGGAAUCCAUUCCGUAUGCACUCCUUCGCACCAAGUGCGCCAGGAUGACACAUCUCUCCCUCCGAGUUUCGGGUUCCUCGUGGGUAAACUGUCGGUUUGACAGGGAGCACCCACCCCCACCCCGUCACCUCCAGCACUACAGCGCGCACGAUCCGAAGACCUCCAGGGACGGAUUAGGAUCGCUCCUCUCACCGUGGGCUCCAGUCAGCCUGCUCCGCGGCUGUGCUCAGGGUGAGAUCAAGGCGUCCGCGGCUGUGCUCAGGGUGAGAUCAAGGCGUCCGCGGCUGUGCUCAGGGUGAGAUCAAGGCGAAUGGACCUCAGGAGUCUCUUGGUUUUCAGACCCUGGACGCGGGUCAGCCGGGAGGGAUUUAGGUGGAGGUGAAGGAGGUGGGAUUCUGGAUCUAACGCAGAGGAGAAGGGCGCGGGCUGCAGUGUCUUGGUCUCCAGCUCACUCACAGCAGGAAGCCUGAUGGAUCCCAGCGGGGAGCAGGACCUCUGUAGUGCUCCUUAACCUCCACAUUCCCUUUCCACUCCCUCUCUUCCUGCCUCUUCCAUGUUUGUCUCUUUUAGAAAAUAAUCGUCCUGUUCUGUUGUUGAGACAGGUCUCACUGUGUAGCCCUCACUGGUCUGGGACGCGCCUUGUAGACCAGGUUGGUCCUCCAGCUCAAGGAGCUCCGAAUUCCUCUGCUUCCCGAGUGUAGUGACUAAAGCGUGCUCCACCUCCGCCCAGAAAGCCGUUUUUUUUGAGCGACUGUAACUGGUGGGAUAGCUAACAAGGUCCUGUCCAGAGAGCUUGGAACAUACGGAAUACUGCUAAGGGCUUAGAGAACAAGCUGACGAAGUCCCUGGUGGAUUUGUCACUAGGAAAGUCUUGUGUUGUAUCCAGUGAGUGCAACUCUGGCUGCUCGCAAAUCUCCAGCCACUGCGUGUCCGAGUUCUAUAGCAGCAAAGUGUUCGCCAGUGGAAGCGUGAGCCAGAAGCCUGCCAGUUUUUCCCGAGCAGGAAGACUGCGGCCCUGACGGACCCCGGGCGGGCACCGAAGGAACCCCUCGCGGAGGGACCGCGCGUCCUCCUCCUUGCGAUACCGUAUCGAGGGACUCCCGCUCUGGCCUGAGGUCCCGAAUGUCACGAAUGUUUCCCGUUCCAUAACGAAGCGGCCACAUGCUUGCACCACACAUCCCCGCUGACUCUCGGGCUCCCAUCGCCGGAGGAAUCGUCGGGUCUCGAGGUCCAAACCAAGCGGAACGGGGGCGGCCUAUGACUGUGGACCCCGGGAGGCUGCCGGGGUUCCUUCGCGCGGAGUAGGACACGGUGCAAACUGCAGACGCCGUUGUCCUGGAGUUUUUCCGAGGAUGAGCGCGUCCAGCAGCGAGAACCUAAGACGCCAUUCUCUCCCUGUCAUCCGCUCCUUGAAUAGCUCUAGCACUUGGCAGACAGAGAUUCCCACCAUUUCUGGCCUGUUUCUUGUUUGUUUGUUUGUUUGUUUCACUACCUAAUGAAUAGUAUCCAACUACACCUUGGUGAUUUGACAGUGUAAAUCCUACAGCACUUGGAGAAAGUCCACCAACCUAAAUAGCCAAUUGAAGCAAGUGUGUGUGUGUGUCAGAAGCAGAAUAUAAGCAAACAAGUUGGUCAUAAAAAAACGUCCUGAAACAAA
Molecule: non-coding RNA, 3501 nt
Organism: Cricetulus griseus (Chinese hamster)
Lineage: Eukaryota; Metazoa; Chordata; Mammalia; Rodentia; Cricetidae
Source: RefSeq, a predicted model, not a curated record